AAUAGAUACCCAGGUAGUCCACGCCGUAAACGAUGGACACUAGCUGUCCGGCCUGCGUUGGCAGGCUGGGUGGCCAAGCGAAAGUGAUAAGUGUCCCACCUGGGGAGUACGUUCGCAAGAAUGAAACUCAAAGGAAUUGACGGGGGCCCGCGCAAGCGGUGGAGCAUGUGGUUUAAUUCGAUGAUACGCGAGGAACCUUACCAGGGCUUGAAUGCAGUGCGACAGGGGCGGAAACGCCCCCUUCUUCGGACGCAUUGCAAGGUGCUGCAUGGUUGUCGUCAGCUCGUGCCGUGAGGUGUCAGGUUAAGUCCUAUAACGAGCGCAACCCCUGCCGUUAGUUGCCAGCGAGUCAAGUCGGGAACUCUAACGGGACUGCCGGUGCAAACCGUGAGGAAGGUGGGGAUGGACGUCAAAUCAUCACGGCCCUUACGUCCUGGGCCACACACGUGCUACAAUGGCAGGUACAAUGGGCAGCCACUGCGCAAGCAGGCGCGAAUCCACAAAACCUGUCUCAGUUCGGAUCGGGGU
RNAcentral lists this ribosomal RNA (528 nucleotides) under uncultured bacterium. RNAcentral describes it as "bacterial SSU rRNA". It matches the Rfam family "Bacterial small subunit ribosomal RNA", at positions 777 to 1304 of the family's 1533-position model. The record is from RNAcentral.